AGGGUCGGACACAAGGGCAGCUGGAGUAAGACCAUCGAGAGGUGGCGGGGCCUGGGGGCGCGAUCCGACGAUGGGACACAAGGGCAGUCGGGAUGGAGGUGAUGUGGGUAGGGUUGGAAUGUCAGAGGGGAGGGGAGCAGCAUAGGACAGCAUGGCAAAGGAAGGACGGACGGUCGGAAACAAAGGGCGUAGAAAGGGCCCGGGGUGGGGUAGGAUGG
This 218-nucleotide long non-coding RNA is filed under the name Elaeis guineensis (African oil palm). Its description in RNAcentral is "long non-coding RNA (EGUI_LNC044832)". The record is from RNAcentral. Lineage: Eukaryota; Viridiplantae; Streptophyta; Magnoliopsida; Arecales; Arecaceae.